Molecule: ribosomal RNA, 253 nt
Filed under: uncultured bacterium
Lineage: Bacteria
Description: partial 16S ribosomal RNA
Rfam family: Bacterial small subunit ribosomal RNA
Source: RNAcentral
UACGGAGGGUGCAAGCGUUGUCCGGAAUCACUGGGCGUAAAGGGCGCGUAGGCGGCCCGGUAAGUCGGGGGUGAAAUCCUGCGGCUUAACCGCAGGGCUGCCUUCUAAACUGUCGGGCUCGAGCACGGUAGAGGCAGAUGGAAUUCCCGGUGUAGCGGUGGAAUGCGUAGAGAUCGGGAAGAACAUCAGUGGCGAAGGCGGUCUGCUGGGCCGUUGCUGACGCUGAGGCGCGACAGCGUGGGGAGCAAACAGG